AGAGUUUGAUCCUGGCUCAGGAUGAACGCUAGCGACAGGCUUAACACAUGCAAGUCGAGGGGCAUCAUGAGGUAGCAAUACCUUGAUGGCGACCGGCGCACGGGUGAGUAACGCGUAUGCAACCUGCCGAUACCGGGGUAUAGCCCAUGGAAACGUGGAUUAACACCCCAUAGUACUUUUAUCCUGCAUGGGAUGUGAGUUAAAUGUUCAAGGUAUCGGAUGGGCAUGCGUCCUAUUAGUUAGUUGGCGGGGUAACAGCCCACCAAGACGAUGAUAGGUAGGGGUUCUGAGAGGAAGGUCCCCCACAUUGGAACUGAGACACGGUCCAAACUCCUACGGGAGGCAGCAGUGAGGAAUAUUGGUCAAUGGACGAGAGUCUGAACCAGCCAAGUCGCGUGAGGGAAGACUGCCCUAUGGGUUGUAAACCUCUUUUAUAAGGGAAGAAUAAGUUCUACGUGUAGAAUGAUGCCUGUACCUUAUGAAUAAGCAUCGGCUAACUCCGUGCCAGCAGCCGCGGUAAUACGGAGGAUGCGAGCGUUAUCCGGAUUUAUUGGGUUUAAAGGGUGCGUAGGCGGUUUAUUAAGUUAGUGGUUAAAUAUUUGAGCUAAACUCAAUUGUGCCAUUAAUACUGGUAAACUGGAGUACAGACGAGGUAGGCGGAAUAAGUUAAGUAGCGGUGAAAUGCAUAGAUAUAACUUAGAACUCCGAUAGCGAAGGCAGCUUACCAGACUGUAACUGACGCUGAUGCACGAGAGCGUGGGUAGCGAACAGGAUUAGAUACCCUGGUAGUCCACGCCGUAAACGAUGCUCACUGGUUCUGUGCGAUAUAUUGUACGGGAUUAAGCGAAAGUAUUAAGUGAGCCACCUGGGGAGUACGUCGGCAACG
RNAcentral lists this ribosomal RNA (886 nucleotides) under human gut metagenome. RNAcentral's name for it is "bacterial SSU rRNA". It matches the Rfam family "Bacterial small subunit ribosomal RNA", at positions 8 to 893 of the family's 1533-position model. The record is from RNAcentral.